AAGAUUUAUGGACGGUUUUUCGUCGACUUAUCUUUGAUUUAUUUUAAGGAAAAGACUCUGAUGGAUAAAAGAUGGAUAUUUUUUCCUGUAGAAGCUAAAACAAUGUAACUUUGAGGUUCUGAUACCAGCUUUUACAACGUUAUUUACAGAGUUCACAAGACUUCUCUGUGUUAUUCCCUGAACAUGCCGAAAAGCUAUUUGAAACUUGGGCACUGCAUUUUACAGACAGAAUCCUGCAACUUCCCAGCCAAGAACCAGGAGCAUCAACAAAUCACCUCCAGAACCCCAUGAUGAUAUUCCAACUCCUGUCUACAAAAGUGGGAAGAAAAUCUUAAGUCUAUGUUGGGACCAACAUGGUUGCAUUCUUCUGAGAGGCUGAGGUGACAAAACCAUUCCCUUUUGUCCUUGGAUUGGAAGAUGACGAUCUCUGCCAUAAAGCCUUCGUUGUUUUUGACAGACAGUCACUCCAGCAAUACACCCUCCUUGGUGAUGUUGACAUGUUUUAAACUUUUUUUAUGUUUUGGACAUUCAUUUUACUAAGCAGUGCACAUCAGUGUGGGUGUUUUUGAAGACUGUUGUUUACAAACUCCCAAGAACAGAAUCCCUUUCUAUAAGAAGUCUGUGUAGUUAUUUGUCAUGCUAAGGCGAUAACUCAUGUUGAUCAUAUAUUGACUGUUUGUGCAACUUUGUGUUGAUCUUAUGUGUUACAUUAACCAUUUCUUAUUACACGGUUCUCUAAAAUGCUAGUUUCUGAUUGGCCAGUCGUGACAUUCUACUACUGCUCAAAACUAAAAACUCCAAUGCUGCAAAUCAUUUUGACAGGUACAGUUUUAUAUUACACAAAAAUUAAAUAUCAAUGUCUAUUAAUUACAUAUCCGACAUUAAAUUUACAAAUGAUUAAACCAAUGUGUUCGUGACAUUUGUCCUGAAGAAACUGUUGGGGCUUUUUUCUGUGAUGACAUGCUGCCAAUACAUUAUCCCUUACUUGUACAACUUUUUACUUGAUCUAAUUGUAAUGUUAACUGUGUAUCUGUCAUUUUAGAUUGUGAGAUAUAAUACUAAUAUAUUUUUUUAUCAGAAAGUUGAUUGUUUGUGUAGGCCUAUGUACUCUUUUAUUGUUCAUGUGCAAUAAAUAUGCUUUUUCAAUUAAAUCUAUGCUUUGUUAUUUAUAGACACCACAAUGAAAGGUAUGAAAGCAAUUUAAACCACAAAAUUUCAGCUUUAAACACAUUAACCAAACGUUGGGUUGUUUCAACCCAA
Molecule: long non-coding RNA, 1260 nt
Organism: Misgurnus anguillicaudatus (oriental weatherfish)
Lineage: Eukaryota; Metazoa; Chordata; Actinopteri; Cypriniformes; Cobitidae
Source: RefSeq, a predicted model, not a curated record